UGGGGAAUCUUGGACAAUGGGGGCAACCCUGAUCCAGCCAUGCCGCGUGAGUGAUGAAGGCCUUAGGGUCGUAAAGCUCUUUCGCCUGUGAAGAUAAUGACGGUAGCAGGUAAAGAAACCCCGGCUAACUCCGUGCCAGCAGCCGCGGUAAUACGGAGGGGGUUAGCGUUGUUCGGAAUUACUGGGCGUAAAGCGCACGUAGGCGGCUUGAUAGGUCAAAGGUGAAAUCCCUCGGCUCAACCGAGGAACUGCCUUUGAAACCAUCUGGCUCGAGGCUGGGAGGGGGUAGCGGAAUUCCUGGUGUAGCGGUGAAAUGCGUAGAUAUCAGGAGGAACACCAGUGGCGAAGGCGGCUACCUGGACCAGUUCUGACGCUGAGGCGCGAAAGCGUGGGGAAGCAAACAGGAUUAGAUACCCUGGUAGUCCACGCCGUAAACGAUGAGCACUCGGUGCCGCGGGUAUCGACCCCUGCGGUGCCUGAGCUAACGCAUUAAGUGCUCCGCCU
Molecule: ribosomal RNA, 504 nt
Filed under: uncultured bacterium
Lineage: Bacteria
Description: bacterial SSU rRNA
Rfam family: Bacterial small subunit ribosomal RNA
Source: RNAcentral